This is a long non-coding RNA of Drosophila erecta, 841 nucleotides long. RefSeq lists it as uncharacterized. The record is from RefSeq and is a predicted model, not a curated record. Lineage: Eukaryota; Metazoa; Arthropoda; Insecta; Diptera; Drosophilidae. The transcript has 5 exons.
UGUAAUCGUUUCGAUUCCGGGCGUGCAAUGGAUCGCACUCUUGCUUUUCUUGCUUUUCUCUUCGUGGCCCACUCAGAUAACGCCGUGCAAGGAGUGAGAGAAGCCGUUAGAGCAGAUGCAAAGAGCGGAAGGAGCUUCACCGUUACGUUUCUACACUUCAGCGAAUCUUAACAAAAAACGAGCUCUCAAAGUGCGGAAAUUAAAUAAAAAUAUAAUCCAGAGCGGAAAAGCUCAAGCCACACGGCAAACGAACGCGGCAUUAAUAAAAUUUAACCAGCUCCUUUAACUGCCGAUCGGUGAGUUCACUUAUAGGUUUGCAUGGCUUUGUGUACACUGUACGUGUGAUCUCUAAUCCAGUGCUCACUCACUUUGAGCUCUUCGCUCCCAAAACAAGAAGAAGACAGUUCGGAAUCACUCAAAGAGAUUUUUGAAACCUGGAAAUAUUCUUUGCGGAAAGGAUCUUGUGGCCCACUGUGCAUGCGGAAUACCUGCAAAUUGACUAGGGAGUCGAAUCGAAGGGAACUCAAGAUGGGAGAGCCAUUCUCCCCAGAUCGAUUCGGAUUUGGCGACUGCGAAGAGCGGAGAAAGCUCAAGAGAGCGCGGAGAUGGAGAUAGCCGGUGCCAGGGGCUUCGGAUCGCCGGGGACAAUGAUAGUGUUGAUAACAAGUGCUUUGCGCUGGAUAUGGGAAUGGGAAUCUUCUCCGACACCGAAAGCCGUGCACUUGUUAUUGAUUCUCGCAAAAAGCGCACUUCACGAUCAUCGGAGGUCUAUAGUUUCAGAGUAAAAUGUAUGAAAUGAAUUAACAAAUAAAUUGAAAAGGUUUAAUGAUCCAAUAAAGAA